Molecule: transfer RNA, 75 nt
Filed under: Saprospiraceae bacterium
Lineage: Bacteria; Pseudomonadati; Bacteroidota; Saprospiria; Saprospirales; Saprospiraceae
Also listed under: 1 other name
Description: tRNA-Val
Rfam family: tRNA
About the family: Transfer RNA (tRNA) molecules are approximately 80 nucleotides in length. Their secondary structure includes four short double-helical elements and three loops (D, anti-codon, and T loops).
Source: RNAcentral
GGGCGCAUAACUCAGUUGGUUCAGAGUGGCUGCCUUACAAGCAGCAAGUCGGAGGUUCGAGUCCUUCUGUGCCCA